AAGAAGGGCCAAUCAGUAGUUAU
RNAcentral lists this non-coding RNA (23 nucleotides) under Cricetulus griseus (Chinese hamster). The record is from RNAcentral. Lineage: Eukaryota; Metazoa; Chordata; Mammalia; Rodentia; Cricetidae.